Molecule: non-coding RNA, 30 nt
Filed under: Mus musculus (house mouse)
Lineage: Eukaryota; Metazoa; Chordata; Mammalia; Rodentia; Muridae
Source: RNAcentral
UAGGUCCACCAGAAUCCCUUGAUGAUAUUC